Molecule: long non-coding RNA, 1771 nt
Organism: Chinchilla lanigera (long-tailed chinchilla)
Lineage: Eukaryota; Metazoa; Chordata; Mammalia; Rodentia; Chinchillidae
Source: Ensembl
GAACCACUCUCACGCACAUGAGUGAACCAAGCCAUGGAAAGUGACAGAGAGGAGUGGUCUGAAAAGUUGCAGACUGGAGUUCACUACUCUUGCCCAAAGAUCAUGACCGCCUGUCAGAUCCAGCUGGGUUCUGCUGUGCAAAAGGCACAAGGCUUGGGAUGGUCACAGCACAUGGAUCCUGAUGCUGUUGGUGUGGAUUCUCCUUCCAUUCAUAAAUCUAGGCUUCACCCUCUGAAGAACGGAAAUGUGCUGAACUCAAUAUUCCUAGAUGAGGAAAAGGAAGCAGACUAGGACCAGAGACGAAGGGAGCUGAAUGGCUGGGUAAGAAGUCCUAGCAAGAGACUUCAAGUGGAAGGCUUUACAUUUGAAAAGACCAUGAUGCUCUGCAUUGAGACAUCACAACUGUCCACAGGAUCUGAAAGCAAGACUUACAUUCAGCUUUACAAGAUGAGAAUUUAUGGUAGUGCUUUCAAUUAAGUGAGAAAAGCCUUUAAUUUUAAGUGGAAGAGUAUGGUGAUAUUUCUUUGAGUUUGUGAAUGUUGAAUUUCCUGUAUUUCAUUUUACUAUUUAACAAGGUCCCCUAAAUGAGAUGAAAUAUCACCAUAUGGAGGCUUUGUAAAUAGAGGACUACUAAACAGCUCAGAUUUCUGAAGAGCUAAAGAUAUUUCAAACAGAGUCCUUUGUCCUGAUAAGCAUAUCAGUUUUCAUACCACUUACUUUGAUUUUGGGUUUGGGAUAUAUUGUCCCUGCACUUAAAUGUCCCAAGAAUAAGAACAGAAAUCUUAAUGCACAUGUAAUUAUGCUUAUCAUUGCAGAACUUAAGUAGUAACAUAAAACCCUCAUAAAAGAAUUUUUAUUUUUUAGGACUAAGGACUUAACGUAGUGCCUCAUACAUAGCUAGGCAAACACUCUGCCACUGAGCUACAUUGCAUAGCCCUGGAAAUGGUAUGUUUUCUAUUUUAUAUCUCAUGUAUGUGAGCAUAACUUGAAGUUGAUUAGUCAUUAUACACCAUUGUUCAUCACCUAAAAAUCAGAAUAGUGGUGCAUGCUUCUGAAGUAUUCCAGAAACACUGAUAUAAAAGUUAAAUUUGCAGUAAAAUCCUAUUAAUCCUAUGUGGCUGGGACCUCAGAAAAAUGAGGCAUCAAAUCAUUGAAAACUUUGAGAAUGCUUACUAAAACUUUAAAGUUAGCCGUAUUGCAACUGAAAGUUAUCCUCUUUAGGUAAAAAAGAAUUUUUAUCAGAGUUACACAGAACACAUUUAGGUAAUUUAAGUUAUUUGCUAGGUGAUUUUUAGGUUACCACAGUGACCAUAUCGUAAGGAUUUAUAAAAGGUAUCAAUUGCAGUGGCUGAAUGGCACUAGAUUGACUCAGUCACCACUUAUCAGAAUUAAUGAAUAGGGAAUGAGAAAGAAGACAUACGAAGGAACAAAUAAUCUAUGGGAGAAAGAGGGGAGAUACGUGUGUGCACACACUGAUAUGGCUAUAACGCCCAGAACCCCCAGCUUCCACUACAGCUCACAGGUAGGGGUUGUCAGCUAUGUUAGAGUUGAGGGAACCAAACACUAGGGUAACUCAUGUUUAAGUGCAGUACAAAACGAAGUUUUUUAAUGUCUGUAAUGUUAAGUUGAUCAACACAGGCAUUCAAAAUGUAUAAUGCAAGUUCUACAUAACUGUUUUGAUUACGUUUAUCUUUAAUUAAAUUUAUUAUUUUUAUUUUUAUUCUUAUUUAUUUAUUUAUUUAUUUAUUUUUUCCGGUACCAGGAAUUGAAC